CCAGGAGAACACGUUAAAUGAAUAAAAUAGGCAGAAUUUCACUACAAAUUGCAAGAGGUUCUCAAAGCUCCCUCAAAAGAGCUCUCAUUUCCUUCCACCAUAGGUCAUUCAAGGAAAGGCCGAAACACCAACAAAGGCAACCCAUCCAACAUUGACGGAGAUUACCCUGUUCAACGGCCAAUGACUUAAUCCUAUUCUAUGACACAUAACACAGUGCUAUAACCACAAUUAAUCAUUUUGAAACAACUGCAGAAUGGUAAUCAAUGAAUUGAUUCCCAUGCUUCUGCUCAUUUCAAAUGGGCAUGCCCUUUGGAACAAUUUGAUCUUUGAUCCACAUGUAGAUGGGAACCAGCACAAAGUACGUGGCUGCUAUGGCCCCGAGAAUGAAGCGCAGAAGGAAAAUAAAAGGAUUUACUGGCUUUCUCACAUCCUCAGCCUUUGGACCAAGCUUCAGGGAAGAAUCUCCAGAAAAUGGCUUAACUCCAGUUACAGAGCAACCCAUAAUCAACCCAUGCCGACGAACACCACGGUACCAUUUUGGGCCAAUUCUUUUCAAUUCGAUACGUAUAAACCCAGCCUUUCUAAACCAUUCAAUGUACUCUUCUUCCUUAGGGAAGAGCAUCCACAUAUCAGCAAAAAAGCGAGACAGCCAAAAGGUUGGGUACACAGGACCUAUAAUACAGGCUUUUCCUCCUAUUUUCAGUACCCUGUAUGCUUCCUUGAUGCCGCGCAGUGGAUCCGGCCAGUACUCAAUGCUCCCAGCAGACACAUAUCUAUGCGCAUAGUCCGUAGGAAAAGGAAGAUCCUCUGCAUCUCCUUCAAUUAUCUUGCAUUCCUUCAAGGGCUCCUUCUGCUUAGCCUUUGCAAGCUGGUGAGGUGACUGGUCAAGAAUUGUGAUAUUCUUGGCAUCCACAUGCUUAACAAUACCCAAAGUAGUAAACCCAGUACCACCACCAACAUCUACCACUGUCAUACCCCUAUUGUUAAGAUCAGCUGGCUCAAGUGCCUCAUCUCUCAUAUCCUCAGUCCAAUGACCAGGGUUUAUGACAUGAUCAUACACAAUAGACAAGAAC
RNAcentral lists this unclassified non-coding RNA (1073 nucleotides) under Hevea brasiliensis (rubber tree). The record is from RNAcentral. Lineage: Eukaryota; Viridiplantae; Streptophyta; Magnoliopsida; Malpighiales; Euphorbiaceae.